UCCGCUCGCCCCGGGAGGGAGCCCGCGGCCAGGGCUGGACUCUCGCCCCGCCACCUCCACCGACUCUCUCCUCAGCCUCCGCGCCUGGCACCGCAGCAAGACUUGAAUGAAGUGAUCAUGUAAACUAGAGAAAGGAGAUUAAAAAUAACCUCUGGAUAUUCCUCUCAUGUGAUCUUUAUUCUGGAUGAAGCAUUAGGACAGCUAAUAGCCGUGUGUCACUUAAAAAUCCAACUUGAGAACUGUCACCAAAGAUGUCUAGGAACUUUGAAGAAACAUGAAGGGGAUGGAUGAGGAAGACCCAGAGGAAAAUUCCAGAGGUGAUGGGUUCUGGAAGUAAAAAUUGAUAGGGAAGAUGAAGAAAUGCAUACAUAUUCAAGAUCUCGCUAAAGGGUAAGCUUUGGGUGAGAAACAAAUGAGAAAGCAAAGCCAUAGAUGGUUCUAUCAUUAAUGGUGAUAUAGAAAACCUUAGAAUCCAGUACAUAGAAGGUGGAGUUCAAGAGCUCCAUUUGAGCCUGUUAGGUUUGAAGGGAGUUCAAGAGCUCCAUUUGAGCCUGUUGGGUUUGAAAGAAUUAUUGGAUAUUUAAAUGAAGAAGUCAGGUAAGCACGCUAUUUUGGUCUAGUGCUGUGAGAGUGAUAUGACAGUAUGUGUCAUUAAGCGGUAUUUCAAUGUGGAAAACAUAACAGACAAGAGAACAGACCUCAGGACUGAAUGAACUCUGAGGCUCUCCAGCAAAGGCCCAGGAGGAGAAAAAGCAAAAACAGGAGCUGGGGUGGAAGGAAAAUUUGAAGAGCGCAGACAGUCUCUCAAAAAUUGCUUUAGUGUUUCAGGCAAGACGAAGUAGUCAAAUAUGUUGAGAAAUUGGAAAAAUGUUAAAAAUGCCCAUUGGAAUUGGCAAGAUGAAGUCCCAGGUAUCACUGACAGUGAUGGUGAAGAUGAGGAAGGAGAAGCCGUCAGUGUGUUGUUGAAGAAUGAAUCGAGGAAGGGGGUGUUUGUGUGGGUAUGUAUGUGUACUGGAGCAACAAACCUAGACAAUUUUUUAUUGAGAAAUUUUAAUACUGGAUGCAUCUGAGCACACUUUUAGGUGUGCUUGAAACCAUUCAGGAGGGAGGGGAAGCUUAGUGAUGCAGGGAAGAGGAGUAAAUGAAGGAGGAAGCUUCUCAAAAAAGCUAGAAGGAACUUCAGAGUGUAUGAAAAAUUUGAUUUUUUUUUUUUUUUUUUUUGAGAUGGAGC
This 1231-nucleotide long non-coding RNA is filed under the name Homo sapiens (human). RNAcentral's name for it is "HSALNT0323850". The record is from RNAcentral. Lineage: Eukaryota; Metazoa; Chordata; Mammalia; Primates; Hominidae.